RNAcentral lists this small RNA (470 nucleotides) under Histoplasma ohiense. Its description in RNAcentral is "hypothetical lncRNA". The record is from RNAcentral. Lineage: Eukaryota; Fungi; Ascomycota; Eurotiomycetes; Onygenales; Ajellomycetaceae.
AUCUAUUACUGCUAAUCUAUCUAUCGCUGCUAAUCUAUCACCGCUGUCAAUCUAUCCCUCACUGCUAAGCUAUCUAUCACUGCUAAUCUAUCACUGCCAAUCUAUCUAUCACUGCCAAUCUAUCUAUCGCUGCUAAUCUAUUGCUGCUAAUCUAUCACUGCUAAUCUAUCGCUGCCAAUCUAUCUAUCGCUGCCAAUUUAUCUACCACUGCCAAUCUAUCUAUUGCUGCUAAUCUAUUGCUGCUGCCAAUCUAUCUAUCACUGCUAAUCUAUUGCUGCUGCUAAUCUAUCUAUCACUGCUAAUCUAUCACUGCUAAUCUAUCACUGCUAAUCUAUCGCUGCUAAUCUAUCGCUGCUAAUCUAUCGCUGCUAAUCUAUCGCUGCUAAUCUAUCGCUGCUAAUCUAUCGCUGCCAACCUAUCUACCGCGGCGAAUCUAUCUAUCACUAUCAUUACUAGUUCAAAAUAGAACU